CGCCGCGUGAGUGAAUGAAGGUCUUCGGAUCUUAAAACUCUGUUAUUAGGGAAGAACAAAUGUGUAACUAACUAUGCACGUCUUGACGGUACCUAAUCAGAAAGCCACGGCUAACUACGUGCCAGCAGCCGCGGUAAUACUUAGGUGGCAAGCGUUAUCCGGAAUUAUUGGGCGUAAAGCGCGCGUAGGCGGUUUUUUAAGUCUGAUGUGAAAGCCCACGGCUCAACCGUGGAGGGUCAUUGGAAACUGGAAAACUUGAGUGCAGAAAAGGAAAGUGGAAUUCCAUGUGUAGCGGUGAAAUGCGCAAAGAUAUGGAGGAACACCAGUGGCGAAGGCGACUUUCUGGUCUGUAACUGACGCUGAUGUGCGAAAGCGUGGGGAUCAAACAGGAUUAGAUACCCUGGUAGUCCACGCCGUAAACGAUGAGUGCUAAGUGUUAGGGGGUUUCCGCCCCUUAGUGCUGCAGCUAACGCAUUAAGCACUCCGCCUGGGGAGUACGACCGCAAGGUUGAAACUCCAGGAAUUGACGGGGACCCGCACAAGCGGUGGAGCAUGUGGUUUAAUUCCAAGCAACGCGAAGAACCUUACCAAAUCUUGACAUCCUCUGACCCCUCUUGAGAU
This 621-nucleotide ribosomal RNA is filed under the name Staphylococcus sp. So1Pw_1091. RNAcentral describes it as "bacterial SSU rRNA". It matches the Rfam family "Bacterial small subunit ribosomal RNA", at positions 395 to 1007 of the family's 1533-position model. Lineage: Bacteria; Bacillati; Bacillota; Bacilli; Caryophanales; Staphylococcaceae. The record is from RNAcentral.